RNAcentral lists this ribosomal RNA (253 nucleotides) under uncultured bacterium. RNAcentral's name for it is "partial 16S ribosomal RNA". It matches the Rfam family "Bacterial small subunit ribosomal RNA", at positions 524 to 776 of the family's 1533-position model. The record is from RNAcentral.
UACGUAGGGGGCAAGCGUUGUCCGGAAUCAUUGGGCGUAAAGCGCGUGUAGGCGGUUCGGUAAGUCUGCUGUGAAAGUCCAGGGCUCAACCCUGGGAUGCCGGUGGAUACUGUCGGGCUAGAGUGCGGAAGAGGCGAGUGGAAUUCCCGGUGUAGCGGUGAAAUGCGUAGAUAUCAGGAGGAACACCGGUGGCGAAGGCGGCUAUCUGGACAGAGUCUGACGCUGAGGCGCGAAAGCUAGGGGAGCAAACGGG